GUGUCAGCAGCCGCGGUAAUACAGAGGUGGCAAGCGUUGUUCGGAAUUACUGGGCGUAAAGGGCGCGUAGGCGGUCUGGUCAGUCCCUUGUGAAAUCCCCCGGCUCAACUGGGGAACUGCACGGGAAACAGCCGGGCUUGAGUUCGGGAGAGGGAAGCGGAAUUCCGGGUGUAGCGGUGAAAUGCGUAGAUAUCCGGAGGAACACCGGUGGCGAAGGCGGCUUCCUGGACCGAUACUGACGCUGAGGCGCGAAAGCUAGGGGAGCAAACGGGAUUAGAUACCCUGGUAGUCC
RNAcentral lists this ribosomal RNA (292 nucleotides) under uncultured bacterium. RNAcentral's name for it is "partial 16S ribosomal RNA". It matches the Rfam family "Bacterial small subunit ribosomal RNA", at positions 505 to 796 of the family's 1533-position model. The record is from RNAcentral.